Molecule: ribosomal RNA, 1016 nt
Filed under: uncultured archaeon
Lineage: Archaea
Description: bacterial SSU rRNA
Rfam family: Archaeal small subunit ribosomal RNA
Source: RNAcentral
UUGGGAUUCGAUUUAAGCCAUGCAAGUCGAAUGGACCCUAUUUCCUGGCCAUCCGGCUUCAGUAACACGUGGAUAACUUCCCCCUUAGGACCGGGAUAGCUUUGGGAAACUGAAGAUAAUACUGGGAUUUUAGGUUAUGCCUGGAAUGGUUUCCCUUUGAAAUUGUAUUUUUCCGCCUAAAGGAUAGAUUUGCGGUUUGAUUAGGUCGUUGGUGGGGUAAUGGCCCACCAAGCCGAUGAUCGUUACGGGUUGUGAGAGCAAGAGCCCGGAGAUGGAACCUGAGACANGGUUCCAGACCCCUACGGGGUGCAGCAGGCGCGAAACCUUCCGCAAUGUACGCAAGUGCGACGGGGGGAUCCCAAGUGUUAUUCUUAACAGAAUAACUUUUCAUUAGUGUAAAAAGCUUUUAGAAUAAGAGCUGGGCAAGACCGGUGCCAGCCGCCGCGGUAACACCGGCAGCUCAAGUGGUAGCUGUUUUUAUUGGGCCUAAAGCGUUCGUAGCCGGUUUGAUUAGUCUUUGGUGAAAGCUUGUAGCUUAACUAUCAGAAUUGCUGAUGAUACUGUCAGACUUGAAGUCUGGAGAGGUUAGAGGUACUACCGGGGUAGGGGUGAAAUCCUAUAAUCCUGGGAGGACCACCUUUGGCGAAGGCGUCUAACUGGAACGAUCUUGACGGUGAGUAACGAAAGCCAGGGGCGCGAACCGGAAUUAGAUAUCCGGGUAGUCGUGGCCGUAAACGAUGUGGACUUGGUGUUGGGAUGGCCUCGAGUUGUUCUGGUGCCGAAGGGAAGCUGGUUAAGUCCACUGCCUGGGAAGUUCGGUCGCCAGACUGAAAUUUAAAGGCAUUGGCGGGGGAGGACCACAACACGUGGAGCCUGGGGUUUAAUUGGAUUCAACGCCGAGACAUCUCCACUAGAGCGACAGCAGAAUGAUAAUCAGGUUGAUGAGCGUUAUUUGACUUAGCUGAGAGGAGGUGCAUGGCCGGCGUCAGUCGUACUGUGAAAGCGUCCUGUUAAGU